CACGGCCCGGGGGCGGGGAGAGCGGCGGCCCGCCGAGAGGCGGCACCCGGCCUGGCCUGCCGGGCCUGAGUCGGGCUGCAGCGGGGAACGGGGUCCCGUCCUCGCCCUGUGGGGCUUCGGCAACCAGCGCCCCGCCGGGCGGCCGGAGGAGUCCUGUCUCGCCGAGUCUGGCUCUCAGGGGCAGGAGCGAAGGUUUGUGCCCUUCGCGACCCGCGAGCGUGUGCACCCAGCUCUCCGUGGGUCUCUGCGGGCGAAGCCAGCCCGCAUCCUCCGCUGAGGACUGAAGAUAAACCCCGGCUGGGCAACAACGCGGGGCCCGGGCACCGGCCUUGUCGCCAGCAGCUGCGCAGCAGUGGCCCUCCGAAAUCCAAAAGCUUUCCAACCAGCUGGGUUUAACCCGUUUCUUCAAAAGCGGGCAAGCGAACAAACCAACGUGAGAUCUUCAGCCAGGUUCUGCCGGUUGUGGCAAUGCUCCCUUGCUGAACCUCAGCCACAGCUGAACGCUGCCUGGGAGCUUCCUUCUGCAGGACACCAUGCAUCACCCAACUGUUAACCUCUCACGAAGGUUUUGGUCUCUGUUGCAAUAAUUGUUUCUCCAUAUUCUGGUUGCUGUAAAUCCUGCACUGUGGCGGCUGCCUACCUGUAGUGCGGAGUGGUUCCGUUGCCCUUCCAUAAACCCAGGGAGUUGGAAAACAGUCUUGAGUUUCUACAGUCUGUAGUUUUAAAACUUGGGAAUCUUGGAAAAAAUUAUGCCUUACUAUUUAAAAUAUUUUUAUUUUAAAUAAUGGCUUUGCUUCAGACUUUCCUGAAAGCCUUCAGUAUUACUCAAAGAAUGUUCUAUGAUUUUUUUUUUUUUUGCAUGUGUCUUGUAAUGAAAAAGGGAAAAGAACUUCUCAUAAAUUUGAGCGUCCCUACUUGUGUGUUGGGGUUCAUUUACUGUGAAAUACAUUGCAAAUCAUAUAGUAAACAGGCUCCCACGGGCACAACGUUGUACACUGUACCCGUAGACAUAAAUCUUUAGGUGUGCUUUAUGAGGCAAAAAAUGCAGGAUUGCUUUCUGAGUAAUUUAUUAUUUUAAGAUCUUUAUUUUUACAGAAUUUUCAAAUUACUGGCUGUUAACUUGACAGAACUGGAUAAAUGGAUGUGAGUUUUAAAAACUGCAUGUAAUACCGGCACAAUUGAAUUAGGCGGUCAAACUUUAUGUGCCUUCAGUCAAGGAAUUAGGACUCAACCCUCGUGCUGAGUAAAAUCAAACAUGAUUCUGUCACAUUGUUACGCUUUCAAAAUGCAUUGGUCCCUGUAUUCUCAAAAGCUUUGAUUUUUAUACACUUACUUUAAAAAAAACCCCACCAAACAACGAAAACCAAAACGCGAGACUGUUAAUCUUCAGUAGAACUAUUUACAUGCUUAACCAGUAAGCAUUUUCCUAAGGCUUUCCCAUCUACGUGCUUCCGUUCUGGGUUUCAAUCCUGAUGGCAAUUCACAGACCAGUCCAAAUACCUUCAUAUGAAACAUGGAUGAUUUGCUAGGACAAUGAGUCAAUUAAUUAUUGACUAUGCAUAAGUAUUUCUUAGGUAAGCUUUAAUGAUUUACUUCCUUUUUGUUGUUUGGACGUUUCCACCUCUUUACUGUACAUGGUGAGCUGUGGGCAUACUGGCAUUCCUGGAAGCUCCUUGUCUGCUUAAUAAAAUGAUUGAAAUGUCUUGUGGAAUGAGGGUCAGUAAACUGUUUUAUAACACUGCCUUUCUUGCGAAAAGGGAGCAAAUAUUUUGGGUAGAAUAUGUCUGAAUGUGACAUCUUGAGUUAAAGCAUCCCACUGUCGUUAUCCCUGUAGUCAAAAUGAGGAAGAGGAGGAAAACUGUCACAUGGCCAUAUUUGCCUCUUGACACCGGUGAGACAAGUAAGAAGAAUUGAGAUUAAUCGCAUUUAAACCCAGCAAAUUAGUAGCUAUUAGAUUGUAUGUGCAGGCUCAUUUCCUGCAAAUCUUACUGUUUUCUUUAACCAAACAAGAAUACUGUAAACAUUCAGUUGGGGGGUGGGGAGGCUGCUCUUACAUUGUGAAUGCUUGAUAAGUUAAUUUAUAUGAAAGGUAGAUGAUGUUUUCUUUAAUCAAAACCAUUACAGUACAUUUGUCCACCCUUCCUCACAGAAUAAUGCCACCUUCUAAAGUAAAAGUACUGAGGGAAUAGAUGAUUACAGCAUUUGAAUAAAAUUGUCAACUUGUUGCUGUAUGAUUUUUUGGUUAAGGAUUGUGUAAAAAAUUGUAAAAAUAUUUAAGAACGGCAGUGAUAAAUAUUUUGGAAUAUAAACUAUUAUACUUCUUAGGAAGAAAUGUUUUAUGUAUUGUUUGCUCGUGUUGUAAUUUAUACUAUUUGUGUGAAAUGAUGGUUUCUUGAAGAAAAAGCAGAUUGUUUCAUUAUGUUAAUUAUUUUUAUUGUAUUAGCUUGUACGUGCUGAUUAUCCGUCUUUUCUUAUUCCAGGUGUGUAGUGGCAUAGAACUGGGAGCAUGCCUCAGGCUUUCCAUAUUUGUAACAGCUUGAUAGCAACCCUGCCACCUCUAUUAAGUGUAACAUACAAUUUUUUUUUAAAGCUGUUUCUGGCUGACUUUCCACCCUUUUUCCCUAAUUUCAGUUUGCUCUGUGCUCUGUUCUGUAGAUCAGGGAAAAAAAGGACCGAAUGUUACUUCUCUCAUAAGCAAAAAAUAUUAACAGUCUUGAUUCUUAAAAUCAUUUUCUCUUCUUAUUACAUUAUAGAAUCUUAGAUUUAUUAGUCUGCUGAGAUGCAUGGAAAGAAAUUUCACUGCAGCUCUUUAGUUGUCUAUCACGGUGCCCAGUGUUCAGCUUUCAGUCAUCCAUUGUCCUCUCUGCAAAAUAACAGCACCCUUCUUUAACUGUCUGACAAAAUUGGACAUACGAUUGUAAUAGUACCCAAGUCACGGGCCUGGAAUGCAAAAUUAAUCUUAGAAUAUUGUAACAAUAUAUUCUGGGCCAUUUCCUCUGCUACUAAAAUUGAGAUUAUUAUAACUUUUUAGUAUCCCAUAUUUUCUGUUUAUACAUUGUGAUGCUUUUUGAACCAAGUGGAGCACUUGUGAAUUUGGUGAGACCUGCUGUCACGAUCUUAGGAAAUUUAGUAUAAAAUUACUUUAAUAAGCAACAUUUCUACUAAUUAAAAGCGUUUUUUUAGAUCAAGUGCAGUCUCUGGUAUAUCUUCUCUGGCCAUUCUCUGUUUGAUACUUAAAUCUCAGUGACUUAGUUUAAAAAUUGUUCUAUUUGCAUGCUUCACUUUUUAUUAUUUACAUUUAUCAUAUGUAUCUUUUUAACUACCAGCUUUGACACUCGUUCUGCUCAGCAUUGCCCCCCAAAUACAGCAAGAUUGCUCAUGGGUUUGGAAAUGAAUCAUACAAGCGGUUGCAGAAUUGAAAACUCUUUCAGAUCUGCUGAAUACCAGAAUCGGGAACUACACACGUGCGUGAAUCUCAGGCGCAUCUCUUAAACACAAGAUAAUCUUUCUCACUGUUUUAUGUAUGCCUUUUGUAAAUGCAGAAGAUUUAUUAGUUAAGCUAAACCAGAGCAGUUAAAGUAUUUAAACUAGCCAGAAUUCUUUUAAGUGACACUGAUUUGAGGCCUUAGUUUCAAGUCAGAAAGCGGAGCAGUGUAUGUGGACAUGUCUGAGGGCACAUUUUUGACUAACUAGCUAAAAAUGCUAGUUAGCUGUUAACCUAACUUUGUAUUGCACUGCAAUUAUUAUAUUGUUUGCUUUGUUAUUAAAUUAUGUUAUUUUGUGAUGGGCAGUGGGUGAUUGAAAUCGUUCCCUGUAGCUUUAUGGCCGUAAUUGCCAGCAAAAAUGUUCAUGAGCCCUAUUGUGAUUCAUUAAAUUACCUCUUG
Grus americana (Whooping crane) is the source of this 3884-nucleotide long non-coding RNA. RefSeq lists it as uncharacterized. The transcript is spliced from 2 exons. Lineage: Eukaryota; Metazoa; Chordata; Aves; Gruiformes; Gruidae. The record is from RefSeq and is a predicted model, not a curated record.